RNAcentral lists this transfer RNA (74 nucleotides) under Aeromonas phage Ah1. RNAcentral's name for it is "tRNA-Ala". It matches the Rfam family "tRNA". Rfam says of the family: Transfer RNA (tRNA) molecules are approximately 80 nucleotides in length. Their secondary structure includes four short double-helical elements and three loops (D, anti-codon, and T loops). The record is from RNAcentral. Lineage: Duplodnaviria; Heunggongvirae; Uroviricota; Caudoviricetes; Pantevenvirales; Straboviridae.
UGGGGUCAUGGUAUAAUUGGGAACACUUCUGCUUUGCACGCAGAGAUCCGGGGUUCGAGUCCCCGUGCUCCACC